GCUGCUCUGAAUGUGUCAUGUCCGACUUCCCCCCUGGGGGUUUGCAACGUUAGCGGCAGGUGAGUUCUUGCUAACAUGCUAUGGUUAGCAGUUUUAAUCUGUUUGUCAUUUAAAAGUAAUGUUGUGUUGGUUUUAGUGUGUUGUCUGUCGUGCUGGUGCCCUUGUGCUGUCCGUGGUGUAUGUGAUGGUGUACCCUCAGUUGGCUUAGGGUUUUCCUGCUGUUGGUUAACCUGUGCCUCAAAACAGUAAAUUGUCUGGGGCGAUGCCACUUUUCGGAAUCUCCCUUUCGUUCUAUGCCGUGUCUCCCCUUGCGCUGUGUCUUUGCUUCUCGCACUACGGUGUUGCACCGUUGUUAACAACGUCAUUAGCUGCACUGCUACACGCGGGACUGUACCUUGUCUGGUUCUGCUGAGCGGCUAGAAAUAACGCUCCACUUUUAAUGUGACCAUCACAGAGCCGUGGUUUGCUCUGUGUGAGAACGAGUACCUCUCCAGUGGCUGUUUUUAAUGCAUCAUCAUCAUUGUGUUUCUUUUUGUUUAUUUUCCCUUAUUGGUGACGAACGACCCCUGUGUCUGUGAAAAUUCGCUCAGAUGACCCAAUGAUGCUAGUAUAUAGGAUUGUUCAUUAUAGUUGGUUCCUGAGAACUGUGUUCUGCCUAUAAUUGACUCCUUUUUAAUGGUACAUGCUUAUAUUAUAUACUGGCUUCCUGUUACAUACAGGUGGUUUGGACUGGUAUAAUUAAUUUUAACUAAUUAUCAAAUUAUUUGUUUAUUUUCUUCUACUGUCUGUGGUGGACGUCGGCCUUGUGAAAUAAGGCUGAUCGUCACUAUUUUGUUUUGUGUGAAUAAAUUAUUUAUAUUAUUUUGGUUUGUUGCAGGAGCUGGGGUCCCACGGGUGAUGAAGCUUUUCCGGUGGUGGUGCUUUCUCCUCAGGGCGUGCUGUGUAACACUUGACGUGUGUGGUUGUGUAGUCUGAGUGCACAGUGGGGUGUGUGUGUGUGCCCUUUUGUAAACACGAGUCGUGAUAAAGUAAUUUCUCCUGUUGGGAACCUCAGCCCUGCUGGUUUGUAUGUUUUGUUUUGUUUUGUUUUGUUUCUAUUAAUUUCUCAUUUUGAGAUUUGAUUGUGGUGAUUGUGCAUUGAAGUGGAGUGAUUUUGUAUGUCUUGGGAGGGCUCAUUUUAAGGGAUUCUGUCUAAAUAAAAUCUAUUUUUGUACUAUA
Molecule: non-coding RNA, 1218 nt
Organism: Misgurnus anguillicaudatus (oriental weatherfish)
Lineage: Eukaryota; Metazoa; Chordata; Actinopteri; Cypriniformes; Cobitidae
Source: RefSeq, a predicted model, not a curated record